RNAcentral lists this ribosomal RNA (855 nucleotides) under uncultured bacterium. RNAcentral's name for it is "partial 16S ribosomal RNA". It matches the Rfam family "Bacterial small subunit ribosomal RNA", at positions 9 to 841 of the family's 1533-position model. The record is from RNAcentral.
GAGUUUGAUCCUGGCUCAGAUUGAACGCUGGCGGCAGGCCUAACACAUGCAAGUCGAGCGGAAACGAGUUAACUGAACCUUCGGGGAACGUUAACGGCGUCGAGCGGCGGACGGGUGAGUAAUGCCUGGGAAAUUGCCCUGAUGUGGGGGAUAACCAUUGGAAACGAUGGCUAAUACCGCAUAAUAGCUUCGGCUCAAAGAGGGGGACCUUAGGGCCUCUCGCGUCAGGAUAUGCCCAGGUGGGAUUAGCUAGUUGGUGAGGUAAUGGCUCACCAAGGCGACGAUCCCUAGCUGGUCUGAGAGGAUGAUCAGCCACACUGGAACUGAGACACGGUCCAGACUCCUACGGGAGGCAGCAGUGGGGAAUAUUGCACAAUGGGCGCAAGCCUGAUGCAGCCAUGCCGCGUGUAUGAAGAAGGCCUUCGGGUUGUAAAGUACUUUCAGCAGUGAGGAAGGUGGGUAUGUUAAUAGCAUACUCAUUUGACGUUAGCUGCAGAAGAAGCACCGGCUAACUCCGUGCCAGCAGCCGCGGUAAUACGGAGGGUGCGAGCGUUAAUCGGAAUUACUGGGCGUAAAGCGCAUGCAGGUGGUUUGUUAAGUCAGAUGUGAAAGCCCGGGGCUCAACCUCGGAAUUGCAUUUGAAACUGGCAAACUAGAGUACUGUAGAGGGGGGUAGAAUUUUCAGGUGUAGCGGUGAAAUGCGUAGAGAUCUGAAGGAAUACCGGGUGGCGAANGCNGCCCCCCUGNACAGAUACUGACACUCAGAUGCGAAAGCGUGGGGGAGCAANANNNUUAGAUUCCCNUGNUAGUNCCACGNCUNNAAACNNUGUUCNNCUUGGGAGGUUCGNNGNCUUU